UUCAUAUUGGCUACACCAUUUAUUCUUUCUUAUGGCAACUUCAGAGGCAGCAAAAUAGAACAUCCAGAUUAAUCAUUUGAUGCAAGAUUUUCUAGACCCAAACCUAGCCCGUUCUUCCAGAGAGGAAACCUCACAGACCACGACUCAAAUGUCUUGUCCUGUCAUGCGAGUUAUCUUUUAAUUUUCCAGUGUUAGUGUGGAAUAAUAACUUUAUUGCUGUGCUUGCAUAGUGCUGUUUAAAUGUGCUGUGACCUAAAUGCAAAACGGUGAAGCACAGUGGUUGAGCUAGAGGAUCUCUUCCUACGGUUUCAACAGUCUUCAGAGACGUUUCUGAUCUGUAACACAGCAGCAAUUCCUAUCCCUGUUAGUUAGCAUAGGAGGGAAUAGCAUAGUAUUCUACUCCUGAUUGUUGAAAUUAAGGAAACCCUGGGGAGAUUUUCCUGCAGCCCCUCUAGUGAGUUCACACUUCAACAGAAUGUCUGUUUAUUUCUCAUUAUCACAUUUUAGUGGCUAUAGUUUGCUCCUUUUGCAGAAGGUUUGCUGAGUUUUCAUGAUAAGGCUGUAUUAGGUGUUUAAGGAUACUAGCCAAAUUUCACGUAUCACUAGUAAAUGGUAUACACAUAAAAAACCUGCUACAUUAAACAAAGUCGUAUUUCAUUUUUUGAUUCACUUUGUGAUUCAAACAGUCAGGAAAACAUGAAUAAACUGCCAGAGAACAAAUUGGACCUUCCCUCAGGCAGCCUUAAAUUAUUCAUCAGUCUUUUUGGAAAAAUUUGUUAGACAUUAGGAGCUAUUUUAUAUAUUUUUAGUUAUUCAAGUAGUGAAUAUUAGAUAGAGUUUAUGCUGGUGUCAGCAGUGCCAUUUAGAAUUUAUGUUGCAUCUCCAGAAAAAGAAAGGACUCUUUGGACCUUCCUCAAGGCAAGUAUUAGGAAAACAUAUUUCUUAAUUUUUAAAGCACAGAUACCUUUUCAACUCUAAAUUAUAAUCUGGGACCAAUUAAUGCAAGAGAAAAAAUGGGGUGGAGGGGAGAACAAGUGAAUAUACACAAUGGAAAAACAAGGAGGGACACUGGAAAAAAAAAAUAACAUCUUUCAAUAGGCCACAGAGUGGAACAUCAAGCAGAGAGAAGAAAGACUCUUAGGAAGAAAUGCUCCACAGAAAGAUGUUACGCGAUGAAAAGUGACCACACAAUGCAGUAACAAUGAGAUAAACUGAGCUACUGUAUAUCAGAUACAGCAUAUACAUAUAUACUGUUGAAAUAAGCUAAGAGAAAUUACCCUCCAUUCCUGAACACGGAAAAUGGAAUACUGGAUUUAACUGUUAGAAAACCUGAGGAGAUCAUAAUAGCAAUGUAUACAGAGCAGGGACUGGGCAAGAAACAAGCUGGCAGUGGUACCUGAACAUCACUGGACACUGUUACUAGCUAUGAAGACAGGCAAGAGUUCAGGGUCUCUAAAAUAAUGGAUGGGUUGCCAUUGAUCAGCAUGGUGUCCUCAGAGCAUAAAACAGAAGGUACUACGUCUUAGAAUUGCAAGCAGUUGUCUGAUCGUUCCUGUAUCAAGAAUACAUUGUGAUGGAUCACUGCAAGGACAUUAGGAGCCUACACCUCUCUCAAGCUUGAAUGCAUGAAAGAAGGUUGGAUGUGACUGCAGGGAAAUAUACCCAAGCAUAACCUGGACACAGAUCCUAGAA
Molecule: non-coding RNA, 1692 nt
Organism: Struthio camelus australis
Lineage: Eukaryota; Metazoa; Chordata; Aves; Struthioniformes; Struthionidae
Source: RefSeq, a predicted model, not a curated record